This 256-nucleotide ribosomal RNA is filed under the name uncultured bacterium. RNAcentral describes it as "partial 16S ribosomal RNA". It matches the Rfam family "Bacterial small subunit ribosomal RNA", at positions 524 to 776 of the family's 1533-position model. The record is from RNAcentral.
UACAGAGACCUCAAGCGUUAUCCGGAAUCAUUGGGCGUAAAGCGUACCGAUAGGUGGUUUACCAAGUCAGAAGUGAAAUCUCCGAGCUCAACUCGGAAUCUGUCUUUUGAAACUGGUAGACUAGAGGGGCAAAGAGGAAGCUGGAACGAACGGUGUAGUAGUGAAAUGCGCAGAUAUCAGGAGGAACACCGGUGGCGAAGGCGGGUCUCUGGGCCGAUACUGACGCUGAGGAGCGAAAGCGUGGGGAGCGAACAGG